AGAAUAGUAACCAGAUGACAAAAGGAAACAAGGUGAAUAAGUCAAGCUUGACUGGUUGAAGAGAGAGCAGAAAUAGGCCAGGACCACAGCUUAUCCCAGCGAAUCAUGAAUCGGUUCAACUCCAGAGAUUUUUCUAAGGUUUAUUAAUAGGCAGUGGGCCCCACAGGAAAACAGAGGCGACGCCCAGUAUCUGGGAUGCAAGCUCAGCAUGUACACUGUGAGAGUAUGGUGCUCGUGUCCGCUUCGCAACUGGGCGACACGGCCACAGUUUUGGGGUAUGGUCGUGCCUUAGCCAUUUUAGAGUCAGUUGUUCAAGUAGGCAGCAUCUUAGGAGUCUAGCCUAAUCUAAGUAUGAUAGUCUUCUCUUUAUUACUCUCUUUGUCUAGUAAAGUUUCCCACAUCUUAACAAGA
This is a non-coding RNA of Salvia hispanica, 411 nucleotides long. NCBI's taxonomy places the organism in Eukaryota, Viridiplantae, Streptophyta, Magnoliopsida, Lamiales, Lamiaceae. The record is from RefSeq and is a predicted model, not a curated record.